CCGAGCGGCGGACGGCUGAGUAACGCGUGGGAACAUACCCUAAAGUGAGGGAUAACUACUCGAAAGAGUGGCUAAUACCGCAUAUGAUCUUCGGAUUAAAGCAUUUAUGCGCUUUAGGAAUGGCCUGCGUACGAUUAGAUAGUUGGUGAGGUAAAGGCUCACCAAGUCGACGAUCGUUAGAUGGUUUGAGAGGAUGAUCAUCCAGACUGGGACUGAGACACGGCCCAGACUCCUACGGGAGGCAGCAG
This 248-nucleotide ribosomal RNA is filed under the name uncultured bacterium. Its description in RNAcentral is "partial 16S ribosomal RNA". It matches the Rfam family "Bacterial small subunit ribosomal RNA", at positions 91 to 354 of the family's 1533-position model. The record is from RNAcentral.